AGUGAACGCUGGCGGCGUGCUUAACACAUGCAAGUCGAACGGAUCAAAGUAGCUUGCUAUUUUGGUUAGUGGCGCACGGGUGAGUAAUGUAUAGCUAACCUGCCCUUUAGUGGGGGACAACAGUUGGAAACGACUGCUAAUACCCCAUACUCCUUCUUGCCAUAAGGUGAGUCGGGAAAGAUUUAUUGCUAAAGGAUGGGGCUUUAUUGUAUCAGCUAGUUGGUGAGGUAAUGGCUCACCAAGGCUAUGACGCAUACCUGGUCUGAGAGGAUGAUCAGGCACACUGGAACUGAGACACGGUCCAGACUCCUACGGGAGGCAGCAGUGGGGAAUAUUGCACAAUGGAGGAAACUCUGAUGCAGCAACGCCGCGUGGAGGAUGACGCAUUUCGGUGUGUAAACUCCUUUUAUAAGGGAAGAUAAUGACGGUACCUUAUGAAUAAGCACCGGCUAACUCCGUG
This 460-nucleotide ribosomal RNA is filed under the name uncultured organism. RNAcentral's name for it is "bacterial SSU rRNA". It matches the Rfam family "Bacterial small subunit ribosomal RNA", at positions 29 to 507 of the family's 1533-position model. The record is from RNAcentral.